Falco peregrinus (peregrine falcon) is the source of this 595-nucleotide long non-coding RNA. RefSeq lists it as uncharacterized. The transcript is spliced from 3 exons. The record is from RefSeq and is a predicted model, not a curated record. Lineage: Eukaryota; Metazoa; Chordata; Aves; Falconiformes; Falconidae.
CGUUUGCAACCCGAGCCAGGAGCUGGGCAUGGUGUGACAGCUUCUAGGCUUUUCCUACUAGGUAUCAACACUUAGAAGGUCAUUUGGACUUACGUUUUCUCCAUUGCUGGCACCUCAGAGGGAUGCUGUUGCAGCUUUGUUGCCUUACAUCAAGCCAAACCACAGGAAGAGGAGCAGCUGGAGAGUUACUCUUCUGAUGGACUUCCAGGUUGAUGUUCAUUAAAAGUAAAUCCACUUUGCAAGUUCCAAUCAACCAUCCUUCUUACGGCCCCGAGGAAUUCAACUGGCUCAUCACUUGUCCCAUGGCACUCCCCUGCAUAAGGCACCACCACUCCUCACCCUUUCCAGCCUGUCUUUCCUGAAGAGCCUAUAUCCAUCUGUGGCAGCUCUCCAGUCGCGUGAACCAUCCUGCCAUGUCUCUAUAAUCCAAAAGAAAUCAUAAUUCUGCAGUUGUGUGGGGGCUGGAAAUUUCCCCAGUUGUUUUCUAUGCUGCGUACAUUUGUUUACAGCUACUUGAGAUGAACCCAGAGUCAUGAUGCUUUCACAAGGGACAUGCAGGAUCGUGCUGCAGAGACUUCAGUGAGGGCACCUCUGC